CCUACGGGAGGCAGCAGUGGGGAAUCUUGCGCAAUGGGCGAAAGCCUGACGCAGCAACGCCGCGUGCGGGAAGAAGGCUCUCGGGUUGUAAACCGCUUUCAGCAGGAACGAAAAUGACGGUACUUGCAGAAGAAGGUGCGGCCAACUACGUGCCAGCAGCCGCGGUGACACGUAGGCACCAAGCGUUGUCCGGAUUUAUUGGGCGUAAAGAGCUCGUAGGCGGUUCGGUAAGUCAGGUGUGAAAACUUUGGGCUCAACCCAAAGCCUGCAUCUGAUACUGCUGUGACUAGAGUUCGGUAGGGGAGCGGGGAAUUCCUAGUGUAGCGGUGAAAUGCGCAGAUAUUAGGAGGAACACCGGUGGCGAAGGCGCCGCUCUGGGCCGAAACUGACGCUGAGGAGCGAAAGCGUGGGUAGCAAACAGGAUUAGAUACCCUGGUAGUCCACGCCGUAAACGUUGGGCACUAGGUGUGGGUUUCAACCAACGAAAUCCGCGCCGUCGCUAACGCAUUAAGUGCCCCGCUGGGGAGUACGGCCGCAAGGUUAAACUCAAAUGAAUUGACGG
This 562-nucleotide ribosomal RNA is filed under the name uncultured bacterium. RNAcentral describes it as "bacterial SSU rRNA". It matches the Rfam family "Bacterial small subunit ribosomal RNA", at positions 338 to 916 of the family's 1533-position model. The record is from RNAcentral.